UUCCAGACUCCUACGGGAGGCAGCAGUGAGGAAUAUUGGUCAAUGGACGGAAGUCUGAACCAGCCAUGCCGCGUGCAGGAAGACGGCUCUAUGAGUUGUAAACUGCUUUUGUACAAGGGUAAACCUGAAUACGUGUAUUCAGCUGAAAGUGCUGUACGAAUAAGGAUCGGCUAACUCCGUGCCAGCAGCCGCGGUAAUACGGAGGAUCCAAGCGUUAUCCGGAUUUAUUGGGUUUAAAGGGUGCGCAGGCGGCGUGUCAAGUCAGCGGUAAAAUGUCGGGGCUCAACCCCGGCCGGCCGUUGAAACUGGCGUGCUCGAGUUGGAGAGAAGUAUGCGGAAUUCGUGGUGUAGCGGUGAAAUGCAUAGAUAUCACGAAGAACCCCGAUUGCGAAGGCAGCAUACCGGCUCCACACUGACGCUGAGGCACGAAAGCGUGGGUAUCGAACAGGAUUAGAUACCCCUGUAU
RNAcentral lists this ribosomal RNA (466 nucleotides) under uncultured bacterium. Its description in RNAcentral is "bacterial SSU rRNA". It matches the Rfam family "Bacterial small subunit ribosomal RNA", at positions 329 to 793 of the family's 1533-position model. The record is from RNAcentral.